GAUGAACGCUGGCGGCGUGCCUAAUACAUGCAAGUCGAGCGAACGGACGAGAAGCUUGCUUUUUUGAUGUUAGCGGCGGACGGGUGAGUAACACGUGGGUAACCUACCUAUAAGACUGGGAUAACUUCGGGAAACCGGAGCUAAUACCGGAUAAUAUUUUGAACCGCAUGGUUCAAAAGUGAAAGACGGUCUUGCUGUCACUUAUAGAUUGAUCCGCGCUGCAUUAGAUAGUUGGUAAGCUAACGGCUUACCAAGGCAGCGAUGCAUAGCCGACCUGAGAGGGUGAUCGGCGACCCGAGAGCGGAGACGCGGACAAGGCGACUGAGAGAGGGACCAGUCGGGAACGUGAGGCAGUGGGGGAAAACAUGACGCAGCGGCGGCGAGUCAGAGGCAGCGAUGUCCGGAGCGUAAAAAUCUGUUAUGAGGGAAAAACAUAUGUGUAUGGAACUGAACCGCUAGUGACGGUACCUGAUCAGGAAGCAACGGCUAACUACGUG
This 497-nucleotide ribosomal RNA is filed under the name uncultured bacterium. Its description in RNAcentral is "partial 16S ribosomal RNA". It matches the Rfam family "Bacterial small subunit ribosomal RNA", at positions 28 to 507 of the family's 1533-position model. The record is from RNAcentral.